UCAACGGAGUUGGGAGACAAA
This 21-nucleotide microRNA is filed under the name Gossypium raimondii (Peruvian cotton). RNAcentral's name for it is "gra-miR8745". The record is from miRBase by way of RNAcentral. Lineage: Eukaryota; Viridiplantae; Streptophyta; Magnoliopsida; Malvales; Malvaceae.